Molecule: ribosomal RNA, 912 nt
Filed under: Protofenestella ulmi
Lineage: Eukaryota; Fungi; Ascomycota; Dothideomycetes; Pleosporales; Cucurbitariaceae
Description: partial large subunit ribosomal RNA
Rfam family: Eukaryotic large subunit ribosomal RNA
Source: RNAcentral
UAGCAUAUCAAUAAGCGGAGGAAAAGAAAACAACAGGGAUUGCCCUAGUAACGGCGAGUGAAGCGGCAUCAGCUCAAAUUUGAAAUCUGGCUCUUUUAGGGUCCGAGUUGUAAUUUGCAGAGGGCGCUUUGGCGUUGGCAGCGGUCCAAGUUCCUUGGAACAGGACGUCACAGAGGGUGAGAAUCCCGUACGUGGUCGCUGGCCUUCGCCGUGUAAAGCCCCUUCGACGAGUCGAGUUGUUUGGGAAUGCAGCUCUAAAUGGGAGGUAAAUUUCUUCUAAAGCUAAAUACUGGCCAGAGACCGAUAGCGCACAAGUAGAGUGAUCGAAAGAUGAAAAGCACUUUGGAAAGAGAGUCAAAUAGCACGUGAAAUUGUUGAAAGGGAAGCGCUUGCAGCCAGACUUGCCUGUAGUUGCUCAUCCGGGCUUUUGCCCGGUGCACUCUUCUGCGGGCAGGCCAGCAUCAGUCUAGGCGGUUGGAUAAAGGCCUCUGUCAUGUACCUCCCUUCGGGGAGGCCUUAUAGGGGAGGCGUAAUGCAACCAGCUUGGACUGAGGUCCGCGCAUUUGCUAGGAUGCUGGCGUAAUGGCUGUAAGCGGCCCGUCUUGAAACACGGACCAAGGAGUCUAACAUCUAUGCGAGUGUUUGGGUGUCAAGCCCGAACGCGUAAUGAAAGUGAACGGAGGUGGGAUCCCUUUAGGGUGCACCAUCGACCGAUCCUGAUGUCUUCGGAUGGAUUUGAGUAAGAGCAUGGCUGUUGGGACCCGAAAGAUGGUGAACUAUGCUUGAAUAGGGUGAAGCCAGAGGAAACUCUGGUGGAGGCUCGCAGCGGUUCUGACGUGCAAAUCGAUCGUCAAAUUUGGGCAUAGGGGCGAAAGACUAAUCGAACUAUCUAGUAGCUGGUUCCUGCCGAGU